Molecule: ribosomal RNA, 114 nt
Filed under: Acanthosepion pharaonis
Lineage: Eukaryota; Metazoa; Mollusca; Cephalopoda; Sepiida; Sepiidae
Source: RNAcentral
AGGCGGUCAAAUCACGCUGAAACACCGGUUCUCGUUCGAUCACCGAAGUUAAGCAUCGUAGAGCCAGGUCAGUACUUAGAUGGGGGACCGCUUGGGAACACCUGGUACUGUAAG